GUAUUAUGAUAUUAUAUAUUCAUUCACCCAAAACCGAAACGUGUAAUGUAAAGGGCGGGUGACCACAGGUCACCCUCACGGUGCACAAAGGGUUGAAAGCCAACGGGGCGAGCACGUGCCGCGUGAACGGCACAGCAUCAAGCCCCUUCAAAGAUACGGUAAUGAUCCUUCCGCAGGUUCACCUACGGAAA
Molecule: unclassified non-coding RNA, 191 nt
Filed under: uncultured fungus
Lineage: Eukaryota; Fungi
Description: sequence contains ITS1
Source: RNAcentral